RNAcentral lists this transfer RNA (73 nucleotides) under Pseudanthias squamipinnis (sea goldie). Its description in RNAcentral is "tRNA-Leu(CUN)". It matches the Rfam family "tRNA". From Rfam's summary of the family: Transfer RNA (tRNA) molecules are approximately 80 nucleotides in length. Lineage: Eukaryota; Metazoa; Chordata; Actinopteri; Perciformes; Anthiadidae. The record is from RNAcentral.
GCUUCUAAAGGAUAACAGCUCAUCCAUUGGUCUUAGGAAUCAAAGAAUCUUGGUGCAAAUCCAAGUAGUAGCU